AACCUAUGAUGAGGGCACCAUCUCAAUAGGUCCUUUUACCUCUCCUAUGCAUCAUAUAGGGUUUCUAAGUUGAUUUGAACAAAGGAAGAAGUAUCAUUAGUUAACUU
This is a small nucleolar RNA of Gossypium arboreum, 107 nucleotides long. It matches the Rfam family "Plant small nucleolar RNA R71". From Rfam's summary of the family: R71 is a member of the C/D box family of snoRNAs containing the C (UGAUGA) and D (CUGA) box motifs. Multiple nearly identical copies of this snoRNA have been identified in Arabidopsis, and it is thought to function as a 2'-O-ribose methylation guide for 18S ribosomal RNA. Lineage: Eukaryota; Viridiplantae; Streptophyta; Magnoliopsida; Malvales; Malvaceae. The record is from Rfam.